CAAUAGCGUAUAUUAAAGUUGUUGCGGUAAAAAAGCUCGUAGUUGGAUUUCUACCGAAGAUAGCCGGUCGGGUCUUCGACCUUGUAUCUGGUUUUGUCUUUGGUAUCCUCAUAGGGAACGUUUCUGCGCUUUAUUGCGUGGUGCGGUAUCUAUGACUUUUACUUUGAGGAAAUUAGAGUGUUCACGGCAGGCAAACGCCUUGAAUAUAUUAGCAUGGAAUAAUAACAUAGGAUCUUCGUCCUAUUUUGUUGGUUUCUAGGGCUAGGAUAAUGAUUAAUAGGGAUAAUUGGGGGCAUCUGUAUCAACGCGUCAGAGGUGGAAUUCUUGGAUUGCGUUGCGACAAACUACUGCGAAAGCAUUUGCCAAGGAUGUUUUCAUUGA
RNAcentral lists this ribosomal RNA (381 nucleotides) under uncultured eukaryote. Its description in RNAcentral is "partial 18S ribosomal RNA". It matches the Rfam family "Eukaryotic small subunit ribosomal RNA", at positions 592 to 976 of the family's 1831-position model. The record is from RNAcentral.